Molecule: microRNA precursor, 209 nt
Organism: Oryza sativa Indica Group (long-grained rice)
Lineage: Eukaryota; Viridiplantae; Streptophyta; Magnoliopsida; Poales; Poaceae
Rfam family: MIR812 microRNA precursor family
Source: Rfam
UUUAAGUGCAACUAUAAGUUUCCACGCCCAACUUUGAUCGUCCGUCUUAUUUUAAAUUUUUUUAUAAUUAGUAUUUUUGUUGUUAUGAGAUAAUAAAACAUGGAUAUUACUUUACUCGUGACUUAUGUUUUUAAAUUUUUUCAAAAAAAAAAAAAUCAAAUAAGACGGACGGUCAAAGUUAGACGCGGAAAACCAUAGCUGCACUUAAA